UCUCCGUAGGUGAACCUGCGGAGGGAUCAUUACAGAGUUCAUGCCCUAACGGGUAGAUCUCCCACCCUAUGUUAUCAUCACUUCGUUGCUUUGGCGGGCCGUCAGGCCUCGGCUUGGCUACCGGCUCUCGCUGGUAAGCGACCGACAGAGAACCCCAAACCCUGAAUAUCAGUGUCGUCUGAGUACUAUAUAAUAGUUAAAACUUUCAACAACGGAUCUCUUGGUUCUG
RNAcentral lists this unclassified non-coding RNA (229 nucleotides) under plant metagenome. Its description in RNAcentral is "partial contains small subunit ribosomal RNA, internal transcribed spacer 1, and 5.8S ribosomal RNA". The record is from RNAcentral.